Molecule: long non-coding RNA, 725 nt
Organism: Triticum dicoccoides
Lineage: Eukaryota; Viridiplantae; Streptophyta; Magnoliopsida; Poales; Poaceae
Exons: 3
Source: RefSeq, a predicted model, not a curated record
CUCGGCAGGGUAAUGGAGAAGCUUCAUUCUGAUGGUCUAGAAGUUUUUGUUUGGUGUUUCCCUCGGCAGGGUAAUGGAGGAAGAUGAGACUUACCCCAGUUUUCAGUGCAUGGUUGGAGAAGAGGAUAAGAGGAGAGGCUUGAAUCUUGAGGUGACAAGGGUAGUCAUCUGGUGCAACUAAAGGUUCAGGUUCAUACUUGUGAUGAUAUUCGUCAGUUUGCCUGGAUGAUUGCCCUGUACUAAUCUUUUCAGAAGGAAGGAGGUAAAUGGAGCAAAAGGCACGAGGAGAAAGGAGUAACGCCAUAGGGACGAUGUUGUCGGCAACGCCUUUGAAAGGAUUCUCCAAGGAGAAGCUACGGUGGCUGACCAUCUUGCUCGGGAAGUGGGAAGGAUGUCAUUCGGGAAGCCCCUAGGUUCUAGGGGUGUGCGUCCAUGCGGUGGACGAGGAUGGCCAUGCGGUGGCCGAGGUGGCCACAAGGAGUUGGAUUGGGCACUUGCCAAUGCGAGCAUGUCGUUGCUCAAGGUACCAAGACCCUGGUUUUGACACAAAGUUUCUUGGCAAGCUGUGCAUGGUUGGGACUGUUUCGUGCAUGCGGGCAAUGGCUCAUGCCAUUCAGUAGCCAUCCAUGUCGCCGUCGCUUGCUGUUAGUUUUUCUUGGAUUCCAAAUUACUUUAUGUGGUGUUCCUCAAUGCAUGAAUUAUUUUCAAUAUGGACGUGAGUCUGA